This 663-nucleotide ribosomal RNA is filed under the name uncultured bacterium. RNAcentral's name for it is "bacterial SSU rRNA". It matches the Rfam family "Bacterial small subunit ribosomal RNA", at positions 108 to 789 of the family's 1533-position model. The record is from RNAcentral.
GAGUAACGCGUGGGUGACCUGCCCCAUACCGGGGGAUAACAGCUGGAAACGGCUGCUAAUACCGCAUAAGCGCACAGAGCUGCAUGGCUCGGUGUGAAAAACUCCGGUGGUAUGGGAUGGGCCCGCGUCUGAUUAGGCAGUUGGCGGGGUAACGGCCCACCAAACCGACGAUCAGUAGCCGGCCUGAGAGGGCGACCGGCCACAUUGGGACUGAGACACGGCCCAAACUCCUACGGGAGGCAGCAGUGGGGAAUAUUGCACAAUGGGGGAAACCCUGAUGCAGCGACGCCGCGUGAGCGAAGAAGUAUUUCGGUAUGUAAAGCUCUAUCAGCAGGGAAGAAAAUGACGGUACCUGACUAAGAAGCACCGGCUAAAUACGUGCCAGCAGCCGCGGUAAUACGUAUGGUGCAAGCGUUAUCCGGAUUUACUGGGUGUAAAGGGAGCGUAGACGGCUGUGUAAGUCUGAAGUGAAAGCCCGGGGCUCAACCCCGGGACUGCUUUGGAAACUAUGCAGCUAGAGUGUCGGAGAGGUAAGUGGAAUUCCCAGUGUAGCGGUGAAAUGCGUAGAUAUUGGGAGGAACACCAGUGGCGAAGGCGGCUUACUGGACGAUGACUGACGUUGAGGCUCGAAAGCGUGGGGAGCAAACAGGAUUAGAUACCCUG